Molecule: ribosomal RNA, 393 nt
Filed under: uncultured bacterium
Lineage: Bacteria
Description: partial 16S ribosomal RNA
Rfam family: Bacterial small subunit ribosomal RNA
Source: RNAcentral
AUACGGGGGAUUCAAGCGUUAUCCGGACUUAUUGGGUUUAAAGGGUGCGUAGGCUGAUAAAUCAGUCAGCGGUGAAAUUUACGGGCUUAACUUGUAGCUUGCCGUUGAAACUGUAUGUCUAGAGUGCAGGAGAGGUAAGUGGAAUUCCUAGUGUAGCGGUGAAAUGCGUAGAUAUUAGGAGGAACACCAGUGGCGAAGGCGGCUUACUGGACUGUAACUGACGUUGAGGCUCGAAGGCGUGGGGAGCAAACAGGAUUAGAUACCCUGGUAGUCCACGCUGUAAACUAUGAUAACUAUCUUUUAGCGAUACACAGUUAGAGGGUACGAGAAAUCAUUAAGUUAUCCACCUGGGGAUUACGUUCGCAAGAAUGAAACUCAAAUGAAUUGACGGGG